UGCGUCGACGGUGAAGCCAAGCUUGCUUGGUGGAUCAGUGGCGAACGGGUGAGUAACACGUGAGCAACCUGCCCUGGACUCUGGGAUAAGCGCUGGAAACGGCGUCUAAUACUGGAUAUGAGCUCUCAUCGCAUGGUGGGGGUUGGAAAGAUUUUUCGGUCUGGGAUGGGCUCGCGGCCUAUCAGCUUGUUGGUGAGGUAAUGGCUCACCAAGGCGUCGACGGGUAGCCGGCCUGAGAGGGUGACCGGCCACACUGGGACUGAGACACGGCCCAGACUCCUACGGGAGGCAGCAGUGGGGAAUAUUGCACAAUGGGCGGAAGCCUGAUGCAGCAACGCCGCGUGAGGGAUGACGGCCUUCGGGUUGUAAACCUCUUUUAGCAGGGAAGAAGCGAGAGUGACGGUACCUGCAGAAAAAGCGCCGGCUAACUACGUGCCAGCAGCCGCGGUAAUACGUAGGGCGCAAGCGUUAUCCGGAAUUAUUGGGCGUAAAGAGCUCGUAGGCGGUUUGUCGCGUCUGCUGUGAAAUCCCGAGGCUCAACCUCGGGCCUGCAGUGGGUACGGGCAGACUAGAGUGCGGUAGGGGAGAUUGGAAUUCCUGGUGUAGCGGUGGAAUGCGCAGAUAUCAGGAGGAACACCGAUGGCGAAGGCAGAUCUCUGGGCCGUAACUGACGCUGAGGAGCGAAAGGGUGGGGAGCAAACAGGCUUAGAUACCCUGGUAGUCCACCCCGUAAACGUUGGGAACUAGUUGUGGGGACCAUUCCACGGUUUCCGUGACGCAGCUAACGCAUUAAGUUCCCCGCCUGGGGAGUACGGCCGCAAGGCUAAAACUCAAAGGAAUUGACGGGGACCCGCACAAGCGGCGGAGCAUGCGGAUUAAUUCGAUGCAACGCGAAGAACCUUACCAAGGCUUGACAUAUACGAGAACGGGCCAGAAAUGGUCAACUCUUUGGACACUCGUAAACAGGUGGUGCAUGGUUGUCGUCAGCUCGUGUCGUGAGAUGUUGGGUUAAGUCCCGCAACGAGCGCAACCCUCGUUCUAUGUUGCCAGCACGUAAUGGUGGGAACUCAUGGGAUACUGCCGGGGUCAACUCGGAGGAAGGUGGGGAUGACGUCAAAUCAUCAUGCCCCUUAUGUCUUGGGCUUCACGCAUGCUACAAUGGCCGGUACAAAGGGCUGCAAUACCGUGAGGUGGAGCGAAUCCCAAAAAGCCGGUCCCAGUUCGGAUUGAGGUCUGCAACUCGACCUCAUGAAGUCGGAGUCGCUAGUAAUCGCAGAUCAGCAACGCUGCGGUGAAUACGUUCCCGGGUCUUGUACACACCGCCCGUCAAGUCAUGAAAGUCGGUAACACCUGAAGCCGGUGGCCCAACCCUUGNGGAGGGAGCCGUCG
This 1389-nucleotide ribosomal RNA is filed under the name Microbacterium testaceum. Its description in RNAcentral is "bacterial SSU rRNA". It matches the Rfam family "Bacterial small subunit ribosomal RNA". The record is from RNAcentral. Lineage: Bacteria; Bacillati; Actinomycetota; Actinomycetes; Micrococcales; Microbacteriaceae.